AGCAUGUGGUUUAAUUCGAAGCAACGCGAAGAACCUUACCAGGUCUUGACAUCCCGAUGCUAUUUCUAGAGAUAGAAAGUUACUUCGGUACAUCGGUGACAGGUGGUGCAUGGUUGUCGUCAGCUCGUGUCGUGAGAUGUUGGGUUAAGUCCCGCAACGAGCGCAACCCCUAUUGUUAGUUGCCAUCAUUCAGUUGGGCACUCUAGCGAGACUGCCGGUAAUAAACCGGAGGAAGGUGGGGAUGACGUCAAAUCAUCAUGCCCCUUAUGACCUGGGCUACACACGUGCUACAAUGGUUGGUACAACGAGUUGCGAGUCGGUGACGGCGAGCUAAUCUCUUAAAGCCAAUCUCAGUUCGGAUUGUAGGCUGCAACUCGCCUACAUGAAGUCGGAAUCGCCAGUAAUCGCGGAUCAGCACGCCGCGGUGAAUACGUUCCCGGGCCUU
RNAcentral lists this ribosomal RNA (445 nucleotides) under uncultured Streptococcus sp. RNAcentral's name for it is "bacterial SSU rRNA". It matches the Rfam family "Bacterial small subunit ribosomal RNA", at positions 936 to 1382 of the family's 1533-position model. The record is from RNAcentral. Lineage: Bacteria; Bacillati; Bacillota; Bacilli; Lactobacillales; Streptococcaceae.